UACGAAGGGGGCUAGCGUUGUUCGGAAUUACUGGGCGUAACGCGCGCGCAGGCGGUCUUCCAAGUCAGUGGUGAAAGCCCGGAGCUCAACUCCGGAACUGCCAUUGAAACUGUUAGACUUGAGGAUGAGAGAGGUGAGUGGAAUUCCCAGUGUAGAGGUGAAAUUCGUAGAUAUUAGGAAGAACACCGGUGGCGAAGGCGGCUCACUGGCUCAUUACUGACGCUCAGGCGCGAUAGCGUGGGGAUCAAACAGG
This 253-nucleotide ribosomal RNA is filed under the name uncultured bacterium. RNAcentral's name for it is "partial 16S ribosomal RNA". It matches the Rfam family "Bacterial small subunit ribosomal RNA", at positions 524 to 776 of the family's 1533-position model. The record is from RNAcentral.